Long non-coding RNA from Pseudophryne corroboree (corroboree frog), 286 nucleotides. RefSeq lists it as uncharacterized. NCBI's taxonomy places the organism in Eukaryota, Metazoa, Chordata, Amphibia, Anura, Myobatrachidae. The record is from RefSeq and is a predicted model, not a curated record. The transcript is spliced from 2 exons.
UAUUCCUGAACACCUGAGUGCCUUGUACACUCUUUAACACAGAUCUAACCGUGGGAUUGAAGAGGCAAGUCUACCACAGUGGUCAGAGGCUGAGCUGAUAAGAACUAAUGCGUCAUGUAUACAAGACAAAACAGUAUCUACGUCAUCGUCCUCAAAUUUAUGAUGAUUUCCGAACAUGAUGGAGAAAAUUAUAUUGCAAACAGCUCUGCUGAGACAGUUACGAGGGUCAAAGACUGAUUCUAGAAAAUAUGAAGAAAAAUAAAUAAAUAAAGUUUUAAUCAUUAAA